This 75-nucleotide transfer RNA is filed under the name Haloarcula vallismortis. RNAcentral's name for it is "tRNA_Met_CAT". It matches the Rfam family "tRNA". From Rfam's summary of the family: Transfer RNA (tRNA) molecules are approximately 80 nucleotides in length. Their secondary structure includes four short double-helical elements and three loops (D, anti-codon, and T loops). Further hydrogen bonds mediate the characteristic L-shaped molecular structure. tRNAs have two regions of fundamental functional importance: the anti-codon, which is responsible for specific mRNA codon recognition, and the 3' end, to which the tRNAs corresponding amino acid is attached (by aminoacyl-tRNA synthetases). tRNAs cope with the degeneracy of the genetic code in two manners: having more than one tRNA (with a specific anti-codon) for a particular amino acid; and 'wobble' base-pairing, i.e. permitting non-standard base-pairing at the 3rd anti-codon position. The record is from RNAcentral. RNAcentral also lists the same sequence under 1 other name. Lineage: Archaea; Methanobacteriati; Methanobacteriota; Halobacteria; Halobacteriales; Haloarculaceae.
GACGGGGUAGUUCAGCCGAGAGUGAACGCCGGGCUCAUGUCCCGGAUGCCGCAGGUGCAAAUCCUGCCCCCGUCA